CAUUUAGCAUAUUAGCUAACUAAAUUUCAUGAAUAUUUCUUUUAAAUUUUCAAAUAUUUAACUUCAAAACAAGUUGUGUGUUUUAAACAGGGAGUUAAUUUUUAUAUUUAUGGUUUUUAAGACUGGUCAAAUUUAGUGUCUUUUAUGCAAACUGCUUUUCAAAGAAGCAGACUUGAUGCUUUAUGCAUUGUAAAUCAGAUAUCUGAAAAUCUAUUUAUAGGCAUCAGACUUUAUUAUAAUGCUAACUGAAGCAAUUGUUCUUUACAGUUUUCCAAAAUAUAAUUGUCUGAAAUAAACCAUCUUGUUUUUAAUUUCCACAAAAAAUUGAAUUAUUGUCUUAGCAGUUUGUUGUGAGAUAAUUGUUAGCAGCUUUCAGAGAGAGAUAGCAUCUUUCUUUCUUAAAUAUUUAGUAUGUCUGCAUUCUGUUCUGCAGAGAAAUGGUCAAUGCCUGGUUCGCUGCGAGAGUCCACACCAUCCCUGUGUGUAAAGAAGGCAUCAGAGGCCACACAGAAUCUUGCUCUUGCGCCUCGCAGCAGAGUCCCUGUGCAGACAGCAGUGCGCCUGGAACACCAAGCAGGAAAAUGUCUGCCUCUGAAUUUGACCGGCCUCUUAGAGCCAUUGUCGUCAAAGAUUCUGAGGGUACUGUGAGCUUCCUCGCUGAUUCAGAAAAGAAGGAACAGAUGCCUCUAACCCCCCGAAGGUUUGAUAAUGAUGAAGGGGACCAGUGCUCGAGACUCUUGGAAUUAGUGAAAGAUAUUUCAAGUCAUUUGGAUGUCACAGCCUUAUGUCACAAAAUUCCUUGCAUACUCAUGGACUUAUCUCCGCUGAUCGCUAUCCCUGUUUCUUGUCUGUGAGGACAGCUCCAAUGACAAGUUUCUCAUCAGCCGCCUGUUUGAUGUUGCAGAAGGUUCAACACUGGAAGAAGCUUCAAAUAACCGUAUCCGCUUAGAAUGGAACAAAGGCAUUGUGGGACAUGUGGCAGCACUUGGUGAGCCCUUGAACAUCAAAAAUGCUUAUGAGGAUCCUCCGUUCAAUGCAGAAGUUGACCAAAUUACAGGUUACAAGACACAAGAGUAUUCUUUGUAUGCCAAUUAAGAAUCAUAGGAAAGAGAUCUGACUGACGUGGGUCCAGGUGCAGGCCCCAGACCGUGAUUGUCGAGAGCUCUCCCUAAGAUUCCGGCUGGCUUCCUGAGCAUCCUUGAUCGGCCUGCCUCCGUGUUCUUGCAUCCUUUCCUGCUGUCUCUGCUCUACCCUGUAAUGACUGGAUAGGAAGACAGAGAGAGAGAGAGAGAGGCAGAGACACAGGCAGAGGGAGAAGCAGGCUGCAUGCAGGGAGCCCGACGUGGGAAUCGAUCCCGGGAUUCCAGGAUCAUGCCCUGGGCCAAAGGCAGGCGCUAAAUUGCUGAGCCACCCAGGGAUCCCCAGCCAACACCAAUUUCAACUACUUCCUACGGAACCUAAGUGUGAUUUUAUGAACAAUCGAUGAGGAAACAGACCUGGAACACUUAAGAACUCACUGAAAGGGUUGUACUACAAAGCUGUGGUCAUCAAGACAGUGUGGUAUUGGCACAAAAACAGACACAUAGAUCAAUGGAACAGAAUAGAGAACCCAGAAGUGGACCCUCAACUUUAUGGUCAACUAAUAUUUGAUAAAGAAGGAAAGACUAUCCAUUGGAAGAAAGACAGUCUCUUCAAAAAAUGGUGCUGGGAAAAUUGGACAUCCACAUGCAGAAGAAUGAAACUAGACCACUCUCUUGCACCAUACACAAAGAUAAACUCAAAAUGGAUGAAAGACCUCAAUGUGAGACAAGAUUCCAUCAAAAUCCCAGAGGAGAACACAGGCAACACCUUUUUUGAACUCAGCCACAGUAAAUUCUUGCAAGAUACAUCCACGAAGGCAAAAGAAACAAAAGCAAAAAUGAACUAUUGGGACUUCAUCAAGAUAAGAAGCUUUGGCACAGCAAAGGAUACAGUCCACAAAACUAAAAGACAACCUACAGAGUGGGAGAAGAGAUUUGCAAAUGACGUAUCAGAUAAAGGGCUAGUUUCCAAGAUCUAUAAAGAACUUAUUCAACUCAACACCAAAGAAACAAACAAUCCAAUCAUGAAAUGGGCAAAAGACAUGAACAGAAAUCUCACAGAGGAAGACAUAGACAUGGCCAACAUGCACAUGAGAAAAUGCUCCGCAUCACUUGCCAUCAGGGAAAUCCAAAUCAAAACCACAAUGAGAUCCCACCUCACACCAGUGAGAAUGGGGAAAAUUAACAAGGCAGGAGACCACAAAUGUUGGAGAGGAUGCGGAGAAAAGGGAACACUCUUACACUGUUGGUGGGAAUGUGAACUGGUGCAGCCACUCUGGAAAACUGUGUGGAGGUUCCUCAAAGAGUUAAAAAUAGACCUGCCCUAUGACCCAGCAAUUGCACUGUUGGGGAUUUACCCCAAAGAUUCAGAUGCAAUGAAACUCCGGGACACCUGCACCCCGAUGUUUCUAGCAGCAAUGUCCACAGUAGCCAAACUGUGGAAGGAGCCUCGGUGUCCAUCGAAAGAUGAAUGGAUAAAGGAAGCUGUGGUCUAUGUAUACAAUGGAAUAUUCCUCAGCCAUUAGAAAUGACAAAUACCCACCAUUUGCUUCAACGUGGAUGGAACUGAAGGGUAUUAUGCUGAGUGAAGUAAGUCAAUCGGAGAAAGACAAACAGUGUAUGUUCUCAUUCAUUUGGGGAAUAUGAUUAAUAGUGAAAGGGAAUAUAAGGGAAGGGAGAACAAAUAAGUGGGAAGUAUCAGAAAGGGAGACAGAACAUAAAGACUCCAAAC
Molecule: long non-coding RNA, 2811 nt
Organism: Nyctereutes procyonoides (raccoon dog)
Lineage: Eukaryota; Metazoa; Chordata; Mammalia; Carnivora; Canidae
Exons: 5
Source: RefSeq, a predicted model, not a curated record